Long non-coding RNA from Bos taurus (domestic cattle), 833 nucleotides. The record is from Ensembl. NCBI's taxonomy places the organism in Eukaryota, Metazoa, Chordata, Mammalia, Artiodactyla, Bovidae.
GAGAAGUGUGAGCCAGAGGCCCACGCCAGGAAGAGGCGGGGAGCUGGGAUGUUCUGCUACCCCUAACAAAGCGGUGCUGGGGAGACAGCAGCAGGGACAGCAGACAUCCCUGCUCUCCUGGCGUGGUCUAGGGCAGGAGCCAGACCACGAAACAGACACUGUGCUGAAUGGAGAAAAACAGGAUGCAGGAGAAAGGACAUGUGAAUAUUAACUCAAAAAAGGAAAAGAAAAUUAAUGUGACGCUUAACAGCCUGGACUUUGGAAACAGAUCCUCUGGGUUCAAAUGCCACCUCUGCCACUUAACUGACCUGUGACCUCAGGCAAAUUCUUUACCAGCUGAGCCACCAGGGAAGCUCAAUCACGAGGAAAAAAACAUCAGACAAAUCCCUCGAGAGGCACGUUCUCCAAAACUCCUGACCAGCAGUCCCCCUCAAUGUCAAGGUUACCAAAAGGAAGGAAAGUCUGAGAAACCGUCACAGCCAGGAGAGAGAGGUCUAAGGAGACGUGAAGGACAUGUAAUGUCAUCAGUGUUAUGGGGUGUCCUGGGUGGAGUCCUGGGACAGAAGAAGGACAUCAGGGCCCUCCUGUGACGCCUGCCUCACUCAAAACCUAAGUUCUUCCCGUGACCUUCUGCCCCCAUCCUGCCUCUGGCCUCGCCUCCCACCCUCUCUCUCCCUCCUUCAGUCCCCUCCAGCCACAUCAGUCUGCUCCACAUCUCUCCAAGGCAUCAGGCACAAGCCUGCCUCUGGACCUGUGCACCAGAUCAGAGAUGCUCCGCAUUCUGUGGACAGCUAUGGGCCCCACCCCCUCACCCAGCACUUCCACCUCCCUCU